CAGUUCUUGACAUCCCUUGACAACUCCAGAGAUGAAGCGUUCUCUUCGGAGACAAGGUGACAGGUGGUGCAUGGUCGUCGUCAGCUCGUGUCGUGAGAUGUUGGGUUAAGUCCCGCAACGAGCGCAACCCUUAUUAUUAGUUGCCAGCAUUCAGUUGGGCACUCUAGUGAGACUGCCGGUGACAAACCGGAGGAAGGUGGGGAUGACGUCAAAUCAUCAUGCCCCUUAUGACCUGGGCUACACACGUGCUACAAUGGCGUAUACAACGAGUUGCCAACCCGCGAGGGUGAGCUAAUCUCUUAAAGUACGUCUCAGUUCGGAUUGCAGUCUGCAACUCGCCUACAUGAAGUCGGAAUCGCUAGUAAUCGCGGAUCAGCACGCCGCGGUGAAUACGUUCCC
This 399-nucleotide ribosomal RNA is filed under the name uncultured bacterium. Its description in RNAcentral is "bacterial SSU rRNA". It matches the Rfam family "Bacterial small subunit ribosomal RNA", at positions 975 to 1375 of the family's 1533-position model. The record is from RNAcentral.